Long non-coding RNA from Pocillopora verrucosa, 676 nucleotides. RefSeq lists it as uncharacterized. The record is from RefSeq and is a predicted model, not a curated record. Lineage: Eukaryota; Metazoa; Cnidaria; Anthozoa; Scleractinia; Pocilloporidae.
UUGUGGCAAAAUGGCCUGAAACCCAGAUAAGUUGUAUCACUGAGCAUCCAGGUUUUCAGUCAAUUUGCCUCGAUUUCUGGGUGCUGGAGACGGCCAAGUACGCGUACAGGCAGCAGCAAAGCACAGAUAAUCACACAGGAAACGACUAAGCUAAAUAUUUUCUGUUUCAUCUGUUUUGUUACAUUUUGAGAUCGAUUUACUUGAGUUGUUUCUGCCAUUGAUUUAAUAAUACAGUACUAGAGCUAGUUGUUUUUCGCUUCUUUCCUGGCAGGAAAUUUCGCUAAAUUGCCUACAGAUAGCUUGUUCGUUGGUGUUGGGGAUAUCUCGGCAAACACUUUAGGGUCGCUGUGCUAUCUUGUGCGGGUUUCUCAAAGGAAGAACCAAGCGGGGCUGGCUUGGAUUUUCUUAUAGAACAUAAGGGUUGAUUAUGGGAUCCUAUAUAGAAUUCUUUGUAUCGAACCGACAAAAUUCCAGAUCACGUUAUUACACACUGAUAUCAACGAAUUCUCUUUCUUUGAUACGUGUUUCGAAUUCAGGCAAAGGUUCAGACAUGUCAGUGUCUUUUACGGGCUCAGCGCUGGCUCCCGAACAACUGGCUUCCCCAUGAUAUUUCAUUAGAUGAGAAAAAAGAUGUUUUUAGAGAACCAAUAAAGCUAUUGUUGUUUAAUUAACGAAA